CCUACGGGUGGCAGCAGUGAGGAAUAUUGGUCAAUGGACGAGAGUCUGAACCAGCCAAGUAGCGUGAAGGAUGACUGCCCUAUGGGUUGUAAACUUCUUUUAUAUGGGAAUAAAAUGUUCCACGUGUGGGAUUUUGUAUGUACCAUAUGAAUAAGGAUCGGCUAACUCCGUGCCAGCAGCCGCGGUAAUACGGAGGAUGCGAGCGUUAUCCGGAUUUAUUGGGUUUAAAGGGUGCGUAGGCGGGCUGUUAAGUCAGCGGUAAAAGCCCGGGGCUCAACCCCGGCGAGCCGUUGAAACUGGCUGUCUUGAGAUGUCGAGAGGUAUGCGGAAUGCGCAGUGUAGCGGUGAAAUGCAUAGAUAUCACACAGAACACCGAUUGCGAAGGCAUCUCACGAAUCCGCGAUUGACGCUGAUGCACGAAAGCGUGGGUAUCAAACAGGAUUAGAUACCCGGGUAGUC
This 459-nucleotide ribosomal RNA is filed under the name uncultured bacterium. RNAcentral describes it as "partial 16S ribosomal RNA". It matches the Rfam family "Bacterial small subunit ribosomal RNA", at positions 338 to 795 of the family's 1533-position model. The record is from RNAcentral.